GAGGACUUGGAAAUCAGGGCAUCUGGUUAGCCUGGCAGAGGUAUCCAGUGGCAGACACCAGGAAUCAGGAAGAAGAUGCCAUAGCAUAGACUUCUUCAAGAUGUCUGUGUCACCAGUCUUAGGAUAUGACACCUGUCUUCAAGGUUCAAGAUGGCUGUUAGUCAACCCAAAUUUCACUUCAUUGUAAGGAAAGAGGACAAAGGAAGAGAAGAAUGCAAGCUGAUUUCAUCUUAAGGAGACCUUCCAGAAGUUCCAUAUACCAUGCUUGUGCACAUUUUCAGAGAUUGGAACACACAGGCCACAUGUAGCUGCAACAGAGGCUGGGAAUUGCCAUCCUGAUGGAAAGAUGGCAGCUAAAAGCAUCACCCCUUCCUUGUGUCUCCACAUAAAGCAGAAGACUGGACAUUGUUCAGCAGAUGAUUAAUCUGUGAAAAUUUAUUACCUUGUAAAUGGUUUAAUUUGCAUGUGGUUAAAAUGACAAAGGGACAGUAGUUUACAGGGCAAAAAUGUGUUUGAUGAGUAAUUAGAGCUUAAUCAGAGCAAAUGUUUCAGAUUCAGUGUAGUGUUAUUUUCCUUGCAUCAUCGAGAGAUGAAAAAUCAGAGGACUUUACAUUUCACAGCAUCAAGAAUACAGUGAAAAGAUUCUGCCCCAAAGGGCAAAGUCCUCGUUCUGUUUUCUGGUGCAUUUUUGAGUUUACACAUGCUCUGACUGCUGAAAGCAGAAUAUACCUCCUCUUAAAUAUUUGCUUUCUAAGGGCAGUCUCCAGGAUGUGUAAGCUCUGAAAUACAGUAGUUAUCAGAAGUCAUAAUCCUGACCUGUGGUACAGCAUAGGAAAUUCUAUUUGUUAGAGCUAAUUUUUGUUUGCUUAAGUUAUAAACUUUAUUCAUCAUGGAGAAUUGUAUUUUCUCUUCUGUUUUGUUACAAUUAAGCUAAUUAUCACCAUAUGUGUUAUCGUUGCAGUUUCAAGUAUUUUCCAUAUGAACUUCCUUCAUGUUUUCUCCCUAUAGCUGUGUAAAUGAAAUAUGG
Molecule: long non-coding RNA, 1027 nt
Filed under: Cricetulus griseus (Chinese hamster)
Lineage: Eukaryota; Metazoa; Chordata; Mammalia; Rodentia; Cricetidae
Description: lncRNA (ENSCGRG00015038761.1)
Source: RNAcentral